Molecule: long non-coding RNA, 4282 nt
Filed under: Homo sapiens (human)
Lineage: Eukaryota; Metazoa; Chordata; Mammalia; Primates; Hominidae
Description: HSALNT0374908
Source: RNAcentral
CAAAGGAGCCAUUCAUCCAGGUCUCAGCUGAGGACUCCAGUGCAGGUGUUGCAAGACAGCAGACGUAGCACUGCUUAUGUGUAUCCUGAAGUCCCAUGUGUAUCCUGAAGUCCCAGAAAGCUGCUUCAAGUAGAUUCCAGUGGAGAAGGGAGUCACCAAGGCUGGACAGUCAUUUAUCCAUGGCAGGACUAGCAAAAAAAUCUGCACCAUCUCUCAUCGCACACACGUGGGUAAGGUUUGGACUGGUAUGAUCUUUUUCCAUAAUGUCAUUUUCGUGAUUUCUUAACUGAGAAUAUAAUAGUAAAUACCAAUCUCACAGAAUUGUUAUGAGGAAUGCAGAAACUUAAUCAAAUUACUUAAUUGUUAUUUUCAUUUCUUAUUAAUUUGUUCCCAUUGAAAUUAAUGUUAUGUCUGGUCUCAUUUUAAAUUAUUUAUCGUUCUGAAUUUGGAUCCCAUCCUCAAGUUUUCAAUGCUUGACUUUUUAUGAAUUCUUGUAUUAUACCUCAAAUUUAAUAAAAUCCUUUUAAUCUUGUCUUCACCCUAGCACUGUCUAUACUGUCCCCUGGGUGGAAGUUUCCCAUCAUUCUAAUUACUUUUGUACACAAAUUUGACUUCUCUCUCCAGCCCCUGUGAGAAACAUGUCCUUUCUGUUACACAGGGAGUAGGUGAAGGCCUUUGGACUUCCUAUUUUUCCUAUAUGAAACUCUCUUCUUUCAGAUAUCAGAAUUUUCCUCUCUCUCUUUCAUUCAGAACUCUGCUAGACAAUCAUCUUACCAGAAAGAUUUUUAUUCAUCACCCUGUGCUAAAUAACAUUGGUACUAUGCUGGACUGAGCUACUAUUUUUCCUUGAAUCCUGCUGUAGGCUUUUCUUCAGACACUUACCAUCACCAGGCGUAAUGUGAAUGUGUUUGUUCAUUGCAUGUCUUCUCCACGUGAAUGGAAACUUCAUGACAAGAAUGUGUUCCAGGGCUGGGCGCCGCGGCUCACGUCUGGAAUCCCAGCACAUUGGGAGGCCGAGGCGGGCGGAUCACAAGGCGCAGUCAACAGCAGUGGAAGAGCUGGCUCAUGUGUGGCUCAGGCUGACUCCACAAUCAGAGUGAUUAUGUGGAAAUCAAUCAGAAUUUUCUUCUUAGAAGAUGUUUGUUCUGACAUAAUGACUGACUUUCCAGCUAAUUUUUAUUCAUAGGCUUCUCCUUGCACAAUGAUCUCUAUUUCUCUCAAUGUUAUUCUGUGUCUUUCUUGCUUGCCUGCACAUUCUGAAAAAAAAAGGAAAGCAAUUCCCUACAUUUUAUUUUGAUACUUAAUGUUGUUUGCUAACAUAUUCAGAACACAAUGCAACUUUAUAUAUUAGAGCACUUAUAAUAUAUAUUAGGAAAACAUCAAUUAGGUACCACCAGUUAUUUUAGACAGGUAUCUCUUAGGUAAAAUGUGGUGAAAAUAGAGGGGCAAUGAUAGAAUUCAUAUGUGAAAGAGUCAAUUGGCCAUCAUUAUGCCAAAAUUAUUUUGUGGUUCAGGGGACAUUUUAAACUUUAAUUUUUAAGAAUUAAACUUUAAUUAAAUUUAUUGUAGUUUAAAUGCAAUCACAAGGAAAGACUCUGAACUGGAAACACCAAGCCAAGCUCUUUCCUAGUUCUGGUCCCCUAUAAACCCUGAAAGUUAAUGCAAUUAUUGUAAUUUUUAAACCACCGAGUUCUCAGGGUGAUUAGUUAUGCAGCAAUAGAUAGCCUGAAAAGGACCAUUCUUUCUGGCACUGAAAAUUAAGAAGAGUGAUUAACAACAUAAGAAUGUAGUUUGUGCUGUCUGCCACAGAUUUAUGUUGUAGCUUCAGUGAUUGCUUCAAAGCACCCUUACUAAUUGCCAGCCUAUUGCUGAUACCUAGCUAAAUUAGCAUGUGUUAGUUUUGAUACCACUAUAGGCAUUUAAAGGAUAGCUGAUACAUUCUAUAUAAAAUAUAAUUAUUUUCCUAUCUUUAGUUUAUCCUAAAGUAGCAGCUAUUAUAUUCGCUUCUUGAUUAGCUUUAUACAUAACCAGAGAAAGUAAAAUAUCACAGAGUAUAUUUGAAGACAUAAAAGUCUUUGGACAAAGCUCAAGUAAUGAAUCAGGAUGCUAUUACAUCCUCCACAUGACAGUAAAUAUAUUUUAUAUUCCUAAAUUUUAAGCUUUUAACAAAAGCAAAUUUUAUACUGGACUAUUUCAAUUUCUAGGGAAAGGAAAUUAUCAUUUACUGUCUUUGAGGCUAUAAUCUAUUUAGCCAUUAUUUUUAUAUUGAUCAAUUUAUAAUAAAGGUAAGAGAAAAUACUACCACAUAUAUGUUGUUUAUAUAAUUUUAACUUUCAUAAUUAAAAUACUGGGUAUACUGCAAGAUGUCAAUAUUUAUAAUAGCUUAUAUUUGGAAACAAUUAUACUUUAUAUACUCCUAAUCCAUUGCCUUGUGUGUCAUUGAAGAAAUUGAAGUUCACAAUAAUGACUGAACAAAUGCUCAAAGCUGGUCUGUGGCAGAACCAAAAAUUUCCAUGGCACCUUUCUCUUUCCAUAUUGGGGUGAUCUGCCUAAUUUGACUUUCUGCUUAUAUGUCUAGACUCUACCCCUCAUUCCUUCUGCUAGUGUGUUGUUGAACCCUUUCUAUUAACCCACUCUCGAUUUUUCUGUUGCACAAUCAAUCUGUAGCCUGAAUGUUGAGUCCCAAAUGCAUGAGCUACCUGGCCGAGUAAUCUAACUAGAUUAGCCUGAGUAUAUCACUUUAAGGCCAAUGUAAAGUUAUGUUGUAACUACCUCAUAGUUUUGCAGAGGCAAGAAAUAGAAGUUAAGGAAGAGAAGAAGCCAAUCUUGAAUCAGUUAGAAUUUCCUUGGACAUAGAAAAUCUCUACAAGCAAAAACCCAUUUGAUUGAACAAGCAAGCUUAUGCAGUUAAAUAUAUCAAAGAUCUUGUCACAAAAAGUGUAAAGGGAAAGUAAAAUAAGGAGGGAGCAUGAAGAAGCCAGCUUAUAUUAAAGAUUCAAAGCAGGGAUAUAAGGAAAUUCAAGCCAAAAAUAAGGAAGAAUUCUUAUAAAUGCCCCAAGAAUGAAUUCGAUGUUUGGUCGAUAUUCCAACAGAUUUAGUAAUGCUAUUUUUAAAGUCAACAGGCUGCCCAUUUUUGCCUCACACUCUGACUGCAUGUAAUCUGUCAAGUACUCUGAUGAGUUCUGGAGAUGCUAAUGCAAAAAAGAUAUAAAAUCCUUACCUUGAAAAUGUAGUUCACAAUUUAGCCAUGGAGUUAUGGCAAGCAUCUUGUCUUCAAUUUUAGCCCCUCCUCCAUCCCUCUCCCAGACACCCAUUGUCCUCUUUCUCACCACAUCCACCCCCUUUUUUGUCCUGUCUUUGGUGCACUAUUUAUAAUUCUUCUCAUGUCUACCACAACUAUUUUGGGUAGUAAGAACAUCAGUAUGGAGACCCCUUAAUCCUAACUAAUAUCAACUCUAUCUGUUUGGUAUUAAUUCUUGUUUAUUGAACUUGAGGCAUUGAGUACUACAAAAAUUAUAAUACACUACUGGUGAACAUUACUUUAUUAAUGAUUAGGUUCCACUUGGAUGUUUGUCAUUCGUAUGUAGCUGUUCUCUCCUUGUAGCCUGUAAACUUUCUAUGGAUGUCACAAAAAGAGUUUUAAGGAUUUUGCUUAAAUUAAAAUUAAUACAUCAAGAAAAUACUAUGCCUCAAACAAAAAAUAAUCAGUUAAUUUAGUUUUUAGAAAUCUUUUACAAAAAACGUGAUAUUUAAUAAUCUUUAUGCAAGGAUUUUUGGGAUAUUAAAAUUGUCACAGAUUUAAUAAUACGUUUUAUUGUAUAAAAUUUUUCUUUUCUCUUCAAAGUGUUGGGAGAGUGAAUUCUCUAAGUAAAAACUGAAGAGUAAGAUGUUAUCAUUAAACAUUUCAGAAAAUGCACACUAUCGUAGACUGCGCACUGUGAAAAUGAUCAGCUAGUAGAGGUUUUGGUGAACAUAUAGUAACUUUUAUCAACAAGUAAUGUGAAUAUGUGAAAUCUAUUGCUUUUCCAAAAGAAAGAAACUUUUACACUUCUUGGUAAAGAUAAACUUUCAUGUAAGAAAAAAUAAAAACAUAAUUUUAGCAAUCCAAACCAUACUAAAAUCAUAAACACUUGACCACAUGUUUGAGUACCCCAAAAAUUGUUCCUGUGUGGAUUCUUCUUCUAGGAUGAUCAGUCCUCAUGGCCUUACUACUCUCCAUUUCUGUCCCACUGAGGUUAGCCAAAGUUCACUUGCCUUGUCAGUUAAGUUUCUAAAUCAGAUG